GCUUGAUGUGUUAGCAUGGAAUAAUGAAAUAUGACUUUAGUCCUAUUUUCGUUGGUUUAGGUACUUCAGUAAUGAUGAAUAGAAACGGUUAGGGGCAUUUGUAUUUGGUCGCUAGAGGUGAAAUUCUUGGAUUGA
Molecule: ribosomal RNA, 135 nt
Filed under: Rhizopus arrhizus
Lineage: Eukaryota; Fungi; Mucoromycota; Mucoromycetes; Mucorales; Rhizopodaceae
Description: Rhizopus oryzae partial small subunit ribosomal RNA
Rfam family: Eukaryotic small subunit ribosomal RNA
Source: RNAcentral